This 253-nucleotide ribosomal RNA is filed under the name uncultured bacterium. RNAcentral's name for it is "partial 16S ribosomal RNA". It matches the Rfam family "Bacterial small subunit ribosomal RNA", at positions 524 to 776 of the family's 1533-position model. The record is from RNAcentral.
UACAGAGGGGGCGAGCGUUGUUCGGAAUUAUUGGGCGUAAAGAGCUUGUAGGCGGUCUGUCGCGUCUGCUGUGAAAAUCCGGGGCUCAACCCCGGACUUGCAGUGGGUACGGGCAGACUAGAGUGUGGUAGGGGAGACUGGAAUUCCUGGUGUAGCGGUGAAAUGCGCAGAUAUCAGGAGGAACACCGAUGGCGAAGGCAGGUCUCUGGGCCACUACUGACGCUGAGAAGCGAAAGCAUGGGGAGCGAACAGG